Cyprinodon tularosa is the source of this 351-nucleotide non-coding RNA. The record is from the annotation of a RefSeq genome assembly. NCBI's taxonomy places the organism in Eukaryota, Metazoa, Chordata, Actinopteri, Cyprinodontiformes, Cyprinodontidae.
AUGUUCCGUCUCACUCUACUGCAGCUGCUGUUGGCAGCAGGAUAUGUAAUGUCUGAACAGCUGACCCAGUCAGCCUCUUUAACUUUGCAGCAAGGCCAGCAACUAACCAUCAGCUGUCAGGUUUCUUAUUCUGUGGGUAGCCAUCAUACUCAUUGGAUCAGGCAGCCACCAGGGAAAGGGUUGGAGUGGAUUGGAGGGGCUCGUGUUGGAUAUAACCCCUACCAGAAAGAUUCUCUAAAAAGCAAGUUCAGUUACAAAUUAGACUCUUCCAGCAACACUGUUACUCUGAAUGGCCAGAAUAUGCAGCCUGAAGAUUCUGCUGUGUACUAUUGUGCCAGGCAGUCACACUGA